AUGAACGCUAGCGACAGGCCUAACACAUGCAAGUCGAGGGGCAGCACAAGGAGCAAUCUGAGGUGGCGACCGGCGCACGGGUGAGUAACACGUAUGCAACCUGCCUGUAAGCGGGGAAUAACCCGUUGAAAGACGGACUAAUACCGCAUAAUACUAAAUUACUGCAUGGUAAUUUAUUUAAACAUUUAUGGCUUACAGAUGGGCAUGCGCAUGAUUAGCUAGUUGGAGAGGUAACGGCUCCCCAAGGCAACGAUCAUUAGGGGUUCUGAGAGGAAGGUCCCCACACUGGUACUGAGACACGGACCAGACUCCUACGGGAGGCAGCAGUGAGGAAUAUUGGUCAAUGGACGAGAGUCUGAACCAGCCAAGUCGCGUGCAGGAAGAAUGUCCUAAUGGAUUGUAAACUGCUUUUGCAGGGGAAUAAAGUGCAUCACGUGUGAUGUUUUGUAUGUACUCUGCGGAUAAGGAUCGGCUAACUCCGUGCCAGCCGCUGC
This 494-nucleotide ribosomal RNA is filed under the name uncultured bacterium. RNAcentral's name for it is "bacterial SSU rRNA". It matches the Rfam family "Bacterial small subunit ribosomal RNA", at positions 29 to 518 of the family's 1533-position model. The record is from RNAcentral.